AUUGAACGCUGGCGGCAUGCCUUACACAUGCAAGUCGAACGGCAGCAUGAUCUAGCUUGCUAGAUUGAUGGCGAGUGGCGAACGGGUGAGUAAUACAUCGGAACGUGCCCUGUAGUGGGGGAUAACUAGUCGAGAGAUUAGCUAAUACCGCAUACGACCUGAGGGUGAAAGUGGGGGACCGCAAGGCCUCAUGCUAUAGGAGCGGCCGAUGUCUGAUUAACUAGUUGGUGAGGUAAAGGCUCACCAAGGCGACGAUCAGUAGCUGGUCUGAGAGGACGAUCAGCCACACUGGGACUGAGACACGGCCCAGACUCCUACGGGAGGCAGCAGUGGGGAAUUUUGGACAAUGGGCGAAAGCCUGAUCCAGCAAUGCCGCGUGUGUGAAGAAGGCCUUCGGGUUGUAAGCACUUUUGUCCGGAAAGAAAUGGCUCUGGUUAAUACCUGGGGUCGAUGACGGUACCGGAAGAAUAAGGACCGGCUAACUACGUGCCAGCAGCCGCCGUAA
Molecule: ribosomal RNA, 505 nt
Filed under: uncultured bacterium
Lineage: Bacteria
Description: partial 16S ribosomal RNA
Rfam family: Bacterial small subunit ribosomal RNA
Source: RNAcentral